Molecule: ribosomal RNA, 1042 nt
Filed under: uncultured crenarchaeote
Lineage: Archaea; Thermoproteati; Thermoproteota
Description: bacterial SSU rRNA
Rfam family: Archaeal small subunit ribosomal RNA
Source: RNAcentral
CGGAGGAGGCGUGGCGGACGGCUCAGUAACACGUAGCUAACCUAACCUCAGGACAGGGACAACCCCGGGAAACUGGGACUAAUCCCUGAUAGGUGAAGAGGCCCAGAAUGGUUCUUCAUCGAAAAGACAUCGGGACCGUGCUCUCAGUGUCGCCUGAGGAUGGGGCUGCGGCCGAUCAGAUAGUUGGUGAGAUAAAGGCUCACCAAGUCUAUAACCGGUACGGGCCGUGAGAGCGGGAGCCCGGAGAUGGGCACUGAGACAAGGGCCCAAGCCCUACGGGGCGCAGCAGUCGCGAAAACUCCGCAAUACGCGAAAGCGUGACGGGGCUACCCCGAGUGCUGUCCGCUGAGGGCAGCUUUUCUCUGGUGUAAUGAGCCGGAGGAAUAAGGAGAGGGCAAGUCUGGUGUCAGCCGCCGCGGUAAUACCAGCUCUCCGAGUGGUGGGGACGAUUAUUGAGCCUAAAGCGUCCGUAGCCUGCUCGGCAAGUCUUCCGUUAAAUCCAACGAUCUAAUCGUUGGACUGCGGGAGAUACUGUCGGACUAGGGGGCGGGAGAAGCCGACGGUACUCCUAGGGUAGGGGUGAAAUCCUAUAAUCCUAGGAGGACCACCAGUGGCGAAGGCGGUCGGCUAGAACGCGCCCGACGGUGAGGGGCGAAAGCUGGGGGAGCGAACCGGAUUAGAUACCCGGGUAGUCCCAGCCGUAAACGAUGCAGGCUAGGUGUUGGAGCGAUCAUGAAUCGCUCCAGUGCCGCAGGGAAGCUGUUAAGCCUGCCGCUUGGGAAGUACGGUCGCAAGACUGAAACUUAAAGGAAUUGGCGGGGGAGCACCACAAGGGGUGAAGCUUGCGGUUCAAUUGGAGUCAACACCGGGAACCUUACCGGGGGAGACAGCAGGUUGAAGGCCAGAUUGAAGGUCUUGCCGGACCAGCUGAGAGGAGGUGCAUGGCCGUCGCCAGUUCGUGCCGUGAGGUGUCCUGUUAAGUCAGGCAACGAUCGAGAACCACGCUCCUUGUAGCCAGCGGCACCCCGGAAGGGGGCCGGGC